CGUCGCCUGCGGGGGCGAUGCCGGCGGCGGCCACGAUCCGGCGGGCGAUGUCAGCCCACUGGGCGUCGGUGAGGAUCGGGUCUUCGGGUGCGGC
Molecule: transfer RNA, 94 nt
Filed under: Streptomyces capitiformicae
Lineage: Bacteria; Bacillati; Actinomycetota; Actinomycetes; Kitasatosporales; Streptomycetaceae
Description: tRNA-Arg
Source: RNAcentral